This 544-nucleotide ribosomal RNA is filed under the name uncultured bacterium. RNAcentral describes it as "bacterial SSU rRNA". It matches the Rfam family "Bacterial small subunit ribosomal RNA", at positions 358 to 916 of the family's 1533-position model. The record is from RNAcentral.
GGAAUCUUGCGCAAUGGGCGAAAGCCUGACGCAGCAACGCCGCGUGCGGGAAGAAGGCUUUCGGGCUGUAAACCGCUUUCAGUAGGAACGAAACUGACGGUACCUACAGAAGAAGGAGCGGCCAACUAUGUGCCAGCAGCCGCGGUGACACAUAGGCUCCAAGCGUUGUCCGGAUUUAUUGGGCGUAAAGAGCUCGUAGGCGGUUGAGUAAGUCGGGUGUGAAAACUUUGGGCUUAACCCAAGGAUGCCACUCGAUACUGCUUUGACUUGAGUUCGGUAGGGGAGUGGGGAAUUCCUUGUGUAGCGGUGAAAUGCGCAGAUAUAAGGAGGAACACCGGUGGCGAAGGCGCCACUCUGGGCCGAUACUGACGCUGAGGAGCGAAAGCGUGGGGAGCAAACAGGAUUAGAUACCCUGGUAGUCCACGCGGUAAACGGUGGUCACUAGGUGUGGGUCUCUUCAAACGAGAUCUGCGCCGUCGCUUACGCAUUAAGUGACCCGCCUGGGGAGUACGGUCGCAAGACUAAAACUCAAAGGAAUUGACGG